UGGGAUAUCGCCAAGCGGUAAGGCACUGGAUUCUGACUCCAGCAUUCCGAAGGUUCGAAUCCUUCUAUCCCAGCCA
RNAcentral lists this transfer RNA (76 nucleotides) under Candidatus Egerieicola faecale. Its description in RNAcentral is "tRNA-Gln". It matches the Rfam family "tRNA". Rfam says of the family: Transfer RNA (tRNA) molecules are approximately 80 nucleotides in length. Their secondary structure includes four short double-helical elements and three loops (D, anti-codon, and T loops). RNAcentral also lists the same sequence under 1 other name. Lineage: Bacteria; Bacillati; Bacillota; Clostridia; Eubacteriales; Oscillospiraceae. The record is from RNAcentral.